AGUAACGCGUGGGUAACCUGCCCAUAAGUGGGGAAUAACAGUGGGAAACGACUGCUAAUACCGCAUAAGCUGAGCAAUCAGUAAAGGAGGCUUUUGCUUCCGCUUAUGGAUGGGCCCGCGUCUGAUUAGCUGGUUGGUGGGGUAAUGGCCUACCAAGGCAACGAUCAGUAGCCGGCCUGAGAGGGUGGACGGCCACACUGGGACUGAGACACGGCCCAGACUCCUACGGGAGGCAGCAGUGGGGAAUAUUGCGCAAUGGGGGAAACCCUGACGCAGCGACGCCGCGUGAGCGAAGAAGGCCUUAGGGUCGUAAAGCUCUGUUUUAAGGGACGAAUAUCCUUAGUAGUAACUGACUGAGGAAUGACGGUACCUUAAGAGAAAGCCCCGGCUAACUACGUGCCAGCAGCCGCGGUAAGACGUAGGGGGCGAGCGUUGUCCGGAAUUACUGGGCGUAAAGAGCACGUAGGCGGGAUUUUAAGUCAGGUGUGAAAGACCGUGGCUCAACCACGGGGUUGCACAUGAAACUGGAAUUCUUGAGGGCAGGAGAGGAAAGUGGAAUUCCUGGUGUAGCGGUGAAAUGCGUAGAAAUCAGGAGGAACACCGGUGGCGAAGGCGACUUUCUGGACUGACCCUGACGCUGAGGUGCGAAAGCGUGGGUAGCAAACAAGAUUAGAUACCCUGGUAGUCCGCGCUUAAACGACCAAAAGGGUGGGGAGGUAUCGACCCCUUCCGUGCCGCAGCAAACGCAAUAAGUAUCCCGCCCGGGGAGUACGGUCGCAAGGCUGGAACUCAAAGGAAUUGACGGGGGCCCGCACAAGCGGUGGAGCAUGUGGUUUAAUUCGAUGCAACGCGAAGAACCUUACCAGGUCUUGACAUCCAAAGAAUCCUGAUGAAAGUCGGGAGUGCCUUAGGGAGCUUUGAGACAGGUGGUGCAUGGUUGUCGUCAGCUCGUGUCGUGAGAUGUUGGGUUAAGUCCCGCAACGAGCGCAACCCUUGCUAUUAGUUGCUAACAUUGAGUUGGGGACUCUAGCGAGACUGCCAGUGACAAACUGGAGGAAGGUGGGGAUGACGUCAAAUCAUCAUGCCCCUUAUGACCUGGGCUACAAACGUGAUACAAUGGCUGUAACAAAGAGCAGCAAGAGCGCGAGCUUAAGCAAAACUCAUAAAAGCAGUCUCAGUUCGGAUUGGAGUCUGCAACUCGACCCCAUGAAGUCGGAAUCGCUAGUAAUCGUAGGUCAGCAUACUACGGUGAAUACGUUCUCGGGGUUUGUACUCACCGCCCGUCA
Molecule: ribosomal RNA, 1286 nt
Filed under: uncultured bacterium
Lineage: Bacteria
Description: bacterial SSU rRNA
Rfam family: Bacterial small subunit ribosomal RNA
Source: RNAcentral